GUCAAAUAUAUGAAGUAAAGUUUUAAUUUUGGGUGUAUGACCUUAAAAUAUUUUAUAAAUUUUAAAAAGAGCUUUUAGUCCUCCUUUAUAUAGAUCAUGUUUUGCCUCUGUAAAGCUUCCGGAGGUACUGAAGUUUAUCCCUAAGUAUGUAUACUGUCUAGCUUUGUCAAUAGGACAAUUAUUUAAUUAAAAAGAUGCAUGAAUUAUUUUUCCUGUAC
This 218-nucleotide long non-coding RNA is filed under the name Mytilus galloprovincialis (Mediterranean mussel). The record is from RNAcentral. Lineage: Eukaryota; Metazoa; Mollusca; Bivalvia; Mytilida; Mytilidae.